Ochotona princeps (American pika) is the source of this 79-nucleotide small nucleolar RNA. Lineage: Eukaryota; Metazoa; Chordata; Mammalia; Lagomorpha; Ochotonidae. The record is from Ensembl.
UGGAAUGACACGCUAUGUAAAAGUUUCCUACCAGGUUUUCUCUACUUCCUUGUUAGCAAUCAGCCUGUUGGGAACAUUG